Molecule: ribosomal RNA, 633 nt
Filed under: Archangium sp.
Lineage: Bacteria; Pseudomonadati; Myxococcota; Myxococcia; Myxococcales; Archangiaceae
Description: bacterial SSU rRNA
Rfam family: Bacterial small subunit ribosomal RNA
Source: RNAcentral
CAUGCAGUCGAGCGCGAAUGGAGCAAUCCUAGUAGAGCGGCGCACGGGUGCGUAACACGUGGAUAAUCUGCCUGGGUGUCUGGGAUAACCAGUCGAAAGAUUGGCUAAUACCGGAUAAGCCCCCGGGAGCUUCGGCUCCUGAGGGAAAAGGUGGCCUCUGUAUACAAGCUAUCACAUCCAGAUGAGUCCGCGGCCCAUCAGCUAGUUGGCGGGGUAAUGGCCCACCAAGGCAACGACGGGUAGCUGGUCUGAGAGGACGAUCAGCCACACUGGAACUGAGACACGGUCCAGACUCCUACGGGAGGCAGCAGUGGGGAAUUUUGCGCAAUGGGCGAAAGCCUGACGCAGCAACGCCGCGUGUGUGAUGAAGGUCUUCGGAUUGUAAAGCACUUUCGACCGGGACGAAAACCCGUUGGCUAACAUCCAACGGCUUGACGGUACCGGGAGAAGAAGCACCGGCUAACUCUGUGCCAGCAGCCGCGGUAAUACAGAGGGUGCAAGCGUUGUUCGGAAUUAUUGGGCGUAAAGCGCGUGUAGGCGGCUUUGCAAGUCGGGUGUGAAAGCCCUCAGCUCAACUGAGGAAGUGCGCCCGAAACUGCAGAGCUUGAGUGCCGGAGAGGGUGGCGGAAUUCC